This 76-nucleotide transfer RNA is filed under the name Aquifex pyrophilus. Its description in RNAcentral is "tRNA-Pro". It matches the Rfam family "tRNA". From Rfam's summary of the family: Transfer RNA (tRNA) molecules are approximately 80 nucleotides in length. Their secondary structure includes four short double-helical elements and three loops (D, anti-codon, and T loops). The record is from RNAcentral. RNAcentral also lists the same sequence under 4 other names. Lineage: Bacteria; Pseudomonadati; Aquificota; Aquificia; Aquificales; Aquificaceae.
CGGGGUGUAGCGCAGGUGGUAGCGCGCUGGCAUGGGGGGCCAGAGGUCGCCGGUUCGAGUCCGGUCACCCCGACCA